GCCAACCUAGCUCAGCUGGCAGAGCAGCAGUUUCGUAAAUUGCAGGUCGAGGGUUCGAGCCCCUUGGUUGGCU
This 73-nucleotide transfer RNA is filed under the name Chitinophaga sp. CF118. RNAcentral describes it as "tRNA_Thr_CGT". It matches the Rfam family "tRNA". Rfam says of the family: Transfer RNA (tRNA) molecules are approximately 80 nucleotides in length. Their secondary structure includes four short double-helical elements and three loops (D, anti-codon, and T loops). Further hydrogen bonds mediate the characteristic L-shaped molecular structure. tRNAs have two regions of fundamental functional importance: the anti-codon, which is responsible for specific mRNA codon recognition, and the 3' end, to which the tRNAs corresponding amino acid is attached (by aminoacyl-tRNA synthetases). tRNAs cope with the degeneracy of the genetic code in two manners: having more than one tRNA (with a specific anti-codon) for a particular amino acid; and 'wobble' base-pairing, i.e. permitting non-standard base-pairing at the 3rd anti-codon position. The record is from RNAcentral. Lineage: Bacteria; Pseudomonadati; Bacteroidota; Chitinophagia; Chitinophagales; Chitinophagaceae.